AAAGUGCGGGAGUGCCGUUUAAAGUAUCGCGCGUGUGAAUCAAUCUGAGAGGAGGAGGAGGCCUCGGAGAGACAUCGAGCAUCGGUGGAGUAGCUCUGUGAUCAACCUAACAACCCUUAAUAUUCCGAGAGGAGGAGGAGGCCUAGGAGAGGCAUCCUGCACCGGCGGAGCAACCCAAGGACAACGUAGCCUCAAGACCAAAUCUCCGCUGUUGCGCAUCAGUGCCG
Long non-coding RNA from Cataglyphis hispanica, 227 nucleotides. RefSeq lists it as uncharacterized. The record is from RefSeq and is a predicted model, not a curated record. Lineage: Eukaryota; Metazoa; Arthropoda; Insecta; Hymenoptera; Formicidae. The transcript is spliced from 3 exons.